RNAcentral lists this long non-coding RNA (2236 nucleotides) under Nicotiana benthamiana. Its description in RNAcentral is "long non-coding RNA (NBEN_LNC027032)". The record is from RNAcentral. Lineage: Eukaryota; Viridiplantae; Streptophyta; Magnoliopsida; Solanales; Solanaceae.
CUUGAUUGAACAUUCCCAAAAUGAACUCAAUGCUUAACCCAACCAACUCAAAUGACUUCAAGUUAAUUUGAAAACAAACUUUGGCUUUGGCUGAUAUGAAAUCAUGCCGGUAAUGUAAAUAUGAAUCAUCAAGCUGAGCAGCAAGAAAAAUGCUUCUGUUAGUUUUAGAUUUCCCCUAAAACGACCCAUGUUUAGGCUUAUACCAAGAUCUAUGCGUAUUUAACCAAGCAUGCCUUGUUUUCAAUCAAAGACAUAUACUCAAUUACACUAGAGAUUACCAGAUUUGCACUAAUUAAAAACACAGCCUUAAAACAUCAAUUUUAGGAGCAAAACGUUUAGUCCUUUUAACCAGACACAAGCUAGACCAUCACGAACUAAAUGACAAGUUAAAAGCUGGAAAAGAAACAGAACUUGGACCAAAUUUGUAGAGUAACCUCAUGAAAGAAUAUGGAUCAAACUAGGCAUGGAUCCACUUUAAAAAUAAAUACAUAAGAGUAAUAACAAACAUAAGGUGUUUUCCCUGAAAAUACUUCCAAUAUAAGAUGUUGGCGAACUCAUUGAAACUCUCAAUAGCAUAAAUGAAGAUGAUAGAAUACAGAUGCACUAAGCUAAAGAACUCUUCAGAGAAACACAACUAGUAUUUGCUAUCAAGAAACUUAAUGCACAUCUUGAGCUUCCAAUUGAUUUUAUGACUUCAAAUUCAAAGGUCAUACAUUCAUGGGUCUAAGAAGUACCUAGAAAGCAAAAAGAAAUAAAAUAGUGAAACGUCAGCAACAACAAACGAUGGUCAGCAAUGAAGCACCGUACCUGGAAAGCAGGAAGAAAUAGAAUAGUGCAAGGUCAGCAACAACAAACGAUGGUCAGAAACGAAGCAAUAGUGACAACUGAAUGCAGUUAGUUUCAGCUCCAAACCAAUUCCACACAGACCCAUAUUCAAUUUGAAAUCUCAAACUCAAAUCAAAAUACCAUUCCAAACAUAAAUUGAGCUCAGAGGCUAAACCAUCCUGAACCCCAUUUACAUCAAAGGCUACUCUAGAGAUCAAUUUCAGAAAAGGAAGACCAGUGCAAUAGUGUUUUUUUAAAAGAACCUCAGCGAUCCUAUUCUCUAUGAUUUUUAUCUCCCAAAGUCUGCUUUGAAUGGUAAGAUAGGAUGCCUUUAUUGGCAAGAAACGUAGGGCAGCCUAGACAAUUUAUUUUUGCACUUAGACCCUUUUUCCAAUUCUCAUUUUAGCUUAGGUGUCCCUCAAUUUCUUGCUUGUUAACCAAGCUAGCCUACUUUCAGCUUUCUAAAGGCUUCUUAAGCAGUUACCAAAAGAUUCCCCUUUUCCUAUUUCCUAGACAACCCCCAAAUGCCUAUAUUUUUAAACUCCCAGGACCCUCAUGUUUACCCUAAGAAAUAAACUUGGGUUUGGGCUGCCUAGCCCAUAAUCACAAGAUCCAAACUAAACCAAAACAACACAAAACAUCAAACAAAUUCAACUUAUCAAUUAACAACCAACACAGGGGUAAUCCAAACAUAAAUGGUUUUAACAGUUAACUCUAAGUCUAUGACAACACGGGGGUAAUCCAAACAUAAAUGUUUUGAACAGUUUACCCUAAGUCUAUUUCAUUAGCCAAAUGACUCGAUGACCAUAACCAACUGGAACUAUUCCGCAUAAACAAAGAGAAAAGGAAUGGGAAAGAAGCAACAAAGGUGCUAGAAAUAAAACCAGAAUUGAAAGAAAAGACAGGGGAGUACCAAUUUGACCGGACUUUAAUCGACGAAUUGAAACAACUCGCCGAGCGAGGAAAGCAACAAGAUUCAAACAAUUAAAGGCGCCUUGGUUGGAAACUGGCGACUCUCAAACAAAUCAAAAACUAACAUAAACCAGUUGUUCUUGGCCAGAAUAAUUUUUUAAUGCAAGUCCCGACUCCAAUUGAGGAUGAAUAUCAAGAAACCGAAUUGGGUUGGGCAACCUAGGGCUUUUGCUUCACACUUAGAUCUGAAAUCAACGAGAAUAGGUGAGGAUUUUAUGGGAACUAAAGGAAGUUUCAUUCUCAGGGGGGUAUGAGGAGUAUAUGGUGAGGAUUUAUAGUGAUUUAAAGCUGGAAGGUCAAAACCAUGGUGGAUUAAGGCUCAAAUAGGGAAGAGACAAGGUACAGGGGUGUUUGGAGGAAAUGAGGAUUCUCUGACCUUUUCUGGACAUAUUAAUGGUUUGAAGAGAUGGGUUCGGACCGUUUGAUGCAUCAAAGUGAA